This 811-nucleotide ribosomal RNA is filed under the name Pseudoneurospora canariensis. Its description in RNAcentral is "LSU rRNA". It matches the Rfam family "Eukaryotic large subunit ribosomal RNA", at positions 76 to 921 of the family's 3401-position model. Lineage: Eukaryota; Fungi; Ascomycota; Sordariomycetes; Sordariales; Sordariaceae. The record is from RNAcentral.
UGCCCUAGUAACGGCGAGUGAAGCGGCAACAGCUCAAAUUUGAAAUCUGGCUUCGGCCCGAGUUGUAUUUGUAGAGGAAACUUUUGGUGAGGCACCUUCUGAGUCCCUUGGAACAGGGCGCCAUAGAGGGUGAGAGCCCCGUAUAGUCGGAUGCCGAUCCAGUGUAAAGUUCCUUCGACGAGUCGAGUAGUUUGGGAAUGCUGCUCAAAAUGGGAGGUAAAUUUCUUCUAAAGCUAAAUAUAGGCCAGAGACCGAUAGCGCACAAGUAGAGUGAUCGAAAGAUGAAAAGCACUUUGAAAAGAGGGUUAAAUAGCACGUGAAAUUGUUGAAAGGGAAGCGUUUGUGACCAGACUUGCGCCGUUCCGAUCAUCCGGUGUUCUCACCGGUGCACUCGGGGCGGCUCAGGCCAGCAUCGGUUUUGGUGGGGGGAUAAAGGUUCAGGGAACGUGGCUCCUUCGGGAGUGUUAUAGCCCUGGGCGUAAUGCCCUCGCCGGGACCGAGGUUCGCGCAUCUGCAAGGAUGCUGGCGUAAUGGUCAUCAACGACCCGUCUUGAAACACGGACCAAGGAGUCAAGGUUUUGCGCGAGUGUUUGGGUGUAAAACCCGCACGCGUAAUGAAAGUGAACGUAGGUGAGAGCUUCGGCGCAUCAUCGACCGAUCCUGAUGUAUUCGGAUGGAUUUGAGUAAGAGCGUUAAGCCUUGGACCCGAAAGAUGGUGAACUAUGCUUGGAUAGGGUGAAGCCAGAGGAAACUCUGGUGGAGGCUCGCAGCGGUUCUGACGUGCAAAUCGAUCGUCAAAUCUGAGCAUGGG